RNAcentral lists this ribosomal RNA (253 nucleotides) under uncultured bacterium. Its description in RNAcentral is "partial 16S ribosomal RNA". It matches the Rfam family "Bacterial small subunit ribosomal RNA", at positions 524 to 776 of the family's 1533-position model. The record is from RNAcentral.
UACGAAGGGUGCUAGCGUUGUUCGGAAUCACUGGGCGUAAAGCGCGCGUAGGCGGCGUGACAAGUCAGAGGUGAAAUCCCAAGGCUCAACCUUGGAAUUGCCUUUGAAACUGUCGCGCUAGAGUGUCGGAGGGGAUGGCGGAAUUCCUAAUGUAGAGGUGAAAUUCGUAGAUAUUAGGAGGAACACCGGUGGCGAAGGCGGCCAUCUGGACGACAACUGACGCUGAGGCGCGAAAGCGUGGGGAUCAAACAGG